RNAcentral lists this ribosomal RNA (484 nucleotides) under uncultured bacterium. RNAcentral's name for it is "partial 16S ribosomal RNA". It matches the Rfam family "Bacterial small subunit ribosomal RNA", at positions 30 to 507 of the family's 1533-position model. The record is from RNAcentral.
AUUGAACGCUGGCGGCAGGCCUAACACAUGCAAGUCGAGCGGAUGAAGGGAGCUUGCUCCUGGAUUCAGCGGCGGACGGGUGAGUAAUGCCUAGGAAUCUGCCUGGUAGUGGGGGAUAACGUCCGGAAACGGGCGCUAAUACCGCAUACGUCCUGAGGGAGAAAGUGGGGGAUCUUCGGACCUCACGCUAUCAGAUGAGCCUAGGUCGGAUUAGCUAGUUGGUGGGGUAAAGGCCUACCAAGGCGACGAUCCGUAACUGGUCUGAGAGGAUGAUCAGUCACACUGGAACUGGGACACGGUCAAGACUCCUACGGGAGGCAGCAGUGGGGAAUAUUGGACAAAGGGCGAAAGCCUGAUCCAGCCAUGCGGCGUGUGUGAAGAAGGUCUUCGGAUUGUAAAGCACGUUAAGUUGGGAGGAAGGGCAGUAAGUUAAUACCUUGCUGUUUUGACGUUACCAACAGAAUAAGCACCGGCUAACUUCGUG